RNAcentral lists this ribosomal RNA (1072 nucleotides) under Gelasimus vocans. RNAcentral describes it as "partial 16S ribosomal RNA". Lineage: Eukaryota; Metazoa; Arthropoda; Malacostraca; Decapoda; Ocypodidae. The record is from RNAcentral.
GAAAAAUAAUUUUAAUAAGUAAGAAAAAGUAAUUUUUAAUAAAAAUUCAUUUUAACUAUAGACUAUAAGUACUGAGAAGGAAAGUAUAAGCUUGCAUAUUAGAGUAUAGUAAAUAUAAAUAUUUGUAUCUUGUGUAUUAGAGAAAAUUUAUAUAACUUAGUUAAUUUAACUUUCUCGAAAUAAAUAUAGCUAAUUAAAAAUACUAGUUUUUGUAGAAAAUAAAUUUGUAAUUUUUAGUUAAGGGUGAAAUAUCAAUCGAAAUUUAUUAUAUCUAGUUUUCUCUGAAUGAAUUCAAUUCUUUCUUUUUGGGUAUAUAACUUAAAGUCAAAAUGUAGGAGGGAUUAGCUUCUUAUAAAUAUAAAGUAAAGAAAUAGUUUGAUGUAAAAAAUAUUUUGAAUUAGGCUUAAAAGUGGUUAUUUUAGUAAAGUGUUUCAACUAAGUUAAUAGUUGGCUAAAAAUUUAUAUUAACUUUUGUUUUUAAGGGGAAAUAGUUUAAAAUAAGGUAUAUUUAGAUAUAAUGAUUUUAUUAGUAUAAAUUUGUAUUAUUCAAAAAGGAUAUUUAAAAUAAAAUUAACAUUUUAAGGGGUAAACAAAAACAUGUCUAUUUGUAGGUAUAGAAAGUCUGGCCUGCCCACUGAUAUUAUUAAAGGGCCGCGGUAAUUUGACCGUGCAAAGGUAGCAUAAUCGUUAGUUCCUUAAUUAGGAUCUUGUAUGAACGGUCGGACAAAAGAAUGACUGUCUCUAUACUUUUGUUGAAUUUAACUUUUAAGUGAAAAGGCUUAAAUAUUUUAGAAAGACGAUAAGACCCUGUAAAGCUUAAUAAGUUAGAGCAUUUAGCUGAGUUAAUAAAUAAAAAGUUUAAUGUAAAGAGCUUAUUUUGUUGGGGCGACAAUGAUAAAAUGUUUGUUAACUGUUUAUAAUGAAAGACAGGAUUUUAUGUUUGAAGAGUGAAUAAAUGAUCCUUUAAUUAAGAUUAAAAGUUUAAGUUACUUCAGGGAUAACAGCGUUAUUUUUUUUGAGAGUUCAUAUCGAAAAAAAAGUUUGCGACCUCGAUGUUGAAUUAAAAUUUCUA